GCAGUUGUGGCCGAGUGGUUAAGGCGAUGAACUAGAAAUCCAUUGGUGUCUCCUUGCACAGGUUCGAAUCCUGUCGACUGCG
Non-coding RNA from Ixodes scapularis (black-legged tick), 82 nucleotides. The record is from Rfam. NCBI's taxonomy places the organism in Eukaryota, Metazoa, Arthropoda, Arachnida, Ixodida, Ixodidae.